This 377-nucleotide ribosomal RNA is filed under the name uncultured bacterium. Its description in RNAcentral is "bacterial SSU rRNA". It matches the Rfam family "Bacterial small subunit ribosomal RNA", at positions 523 to 898 of the family's 1533-position model. The record is from RNAcentral.
AUACGUAGGUGGCGAGCGUUGUCCGGAAUUACUGGGUGUAAAGGGCGCGUAGGCGGGGAUGUAAGUCAGAUGUGAAAUACCAUGGCUUAACUGUGGUCGUGCAUCUGAAACUAUGUUUCUUGAGUAUCGGAGAGGAAAGCGGAAUUCCCAGUGUAGCGGUGAAAUGCGUAGAGAUUGGGAAGAACACCAGUGGCGAAGGCGGCUUUCUGGACGGUAACUGACGCUGAGGCGCGAAAGCGUGGGGAGCAAACAGGAUUAGAUACCCUGGUAGUCCACGCCGUAAACGAUGGAUACUAGGUGUAGGAGGUAUCGACCCCUUCUGUGCCGGAGUUAACACAAUAAGUAUCCCACCUGGGGAGUACGGCCGCAAGGUUGAA